RNAcentral lists this ribosomal RNA (429 nucleotides) under uncultured bacterium. RNAcentral's name for it is "bacterial SSU rRNA". It matches the Rfam family "Bacterial small subunit ribosomal RNA", at positions 355 to 776 of the family's 1533-position model. The record is from RNAcentral.
UGGGGAAUAUUGGACAAUGGGCGCAAGCCUGAUCCAGCCAUGCCGCGUGUGUGAAGAAGGCUCUAGGGUUGUAAAGCACUUUAAGCAGGGAAGAAACGCUGUUGGUUAAUACCCAUCAGUACUGACGGUACCUGCAGAAUAAGCACCGGCUAACUCCGUGCCAGCAGCCGCGGUAAUACGGAGGGUGCAAGCGUUAAUCGGAUUUACUGGGCGUAAAGCGUGCGUAGGCGGCUGCGUAAGUCAGUUGUGAAAGCCCCGGGCUUAACCUGGGAACUGCAAUUGAUACUGCGUGGCUAGAAUUCGGUAGAGGAAGGUGGAACUCCAGGUGUAGCGGUGAAAUGCGUAGAUAUCUGGAAGAACAUCAAUGGCGAAGGCAACCUUCUGGGCCUGAAUUGACGCUGAGGUACGAAAGCGUGGGGAGCAAACAGG